RNAcentral lists this long non-coding RNA (369 nucleotides) under Canis lupus familiaris (dog). RNAcentral's name for it is "lncRNA (ENSCAFG00845028245.1)". Lineage: Eukaryota; Metazoa; Chordata; Mammalia; Carnivora; Canidae. The record is from RNAcentral.
CUUAAAAAUACCCUGACAUGCAUAUAAAGACUGCGUUCCAAAGGUUAAUGCUCCUUAAUCCUGAAGGGAGUGGACAGAUCCUGCAUGACCCACGGUGCCUUCUCACUUCCUGCUGGAGUUAUUGCAAAAGGAAUCCAGGAGACAAUGGGGCUGCUGAACACUUUCCGGAAUCGGGGCAUGCCUGCUAUGGCCACACAAGACCAGCUGCUCUACAAAGGAGCCCGUGAGCCAAAGAGGAAAACUUUGAAGAUAAAUAUUGCCAUAUGUGAAGAGAAAAAGAAAAAAAUCCCAACAAACCUUAAUUGCACGGAGCAUCGUUUUCCAAUGCUAUUUGCCGUGGGAAUAAAGGAUUUCUUGUUGUGACCCAUG